UGUGAAGAUGCAGUGUACCCGCGGCUAGACGGAAAGACCCCGUGAACCUUUACUGCAGCUUGACACUGAACUUUGACCUUACUUGUGUAGGAUAGGUGGGAGGCUUUGAAGCUGGAACGCUAGUUCCAGUGGAGCCGUCCUUGAAAUACCACCCUGGUAAUGUUGAGGUUCUAACUCUGUCCCGUGAUCCGGGACGAGGACCGUGUCUGGUGGGUAGUUUGACUGGGGCGGUCUCCUCCUAAAGAGUAACGGAGGAGUACGAAGGUGCGCUCAGCGUGGUCGGAAAUCACGCGUAGAGUAUAAAGGCAAAAGCGCGCUUAACUGCGAGACCCACAAGUCGAGCAGGUACGAAAGUAGGUCUUAGUGAUCCGGUGGUUCUGUAUGGAAGGGCCAUCGCUCAACGGAUAAAAGGUACUCUGGGGAUAACAGGCUGAUACCGCCCAAGAGUUCAUAUCGACGGCGGUGUUUGGCACCUCGAUGUCGGCUCAUCUCAUCCUGGGGCUGAAGCAGGUCCCAAGGGUAUGGCUGUUCGCCAUUUAAAGAGGUACGCGAGCUGGGUUUAGAACGUCGUGAGACAGUUCGGUCCCUAUCUACCGUGGGCGCUGGAAAUUUGAGAGGAUCUGCUCCUAGUACGAGAGGACCAGAGUGGACGAACCUCUGGUGUACCGGUUGUGACGCCAGUCGCAUCGCCGGGUAGCUAUGUUCGGAAGGGAUAACCGCUGAAAGCAUCUAAGCGGGAAGCCUACCUCAAGAUAAGAUUUCCCUAGGACUUUAUGUCCUCUAAAGAGCCGUUCGAGACUAGGACGUUGAUAGGUUGGAUGUGGAAGCAUAGUGAUAUGUGAAGCUGACCAAUACUAAUUGCUCGUGAGGCUUGACUAU
This 879-nucleotide ribosomal RNA is filed under the name Acinetobacter baumannii. Its description in RNAcentral is "partial 23S ribosomal RNA". It matches the Rfam family "Bacterial large subunit ribosomal RNA", at positions 2052 to 2925 of the family's 2925-position model. Lineage: Bacteria; Pseudomonadati; Pseudomonadota; Gammaproteobacteria; Moraxellales; Moraxellaceae. The record is from RNAcentral.